CCUACGGGAGGCAGCAGUAGGGAAUCUUCCGCAAUGGACGAAAGUCUGACGGAGCAACGCCGCGUGAGUGAUGAAGGGUUUCGGCUCGUAAAGCUCUGUUGUCAGGGAAGAACAAGUAUCGUUCGAAUAGGGCGGUACCUUGACGGUACCUGACCAGAAAGCCACGGCUAACUACGUGCCAGCAGCCGCGGUAAUACGUAGGUGGCAAGCGUUGUCCGGAAUUAUUGGGCGUAAAGCGCGCGCAGGCGGUUUCUU
Molecule: ribosomal RNA, 255 nt
Filed under: Halalkalibacter oceani
Lineage: Bacteria; Bacillati; Bacillota; Bacilli; Caryophanales; Bacillaceae
Description: Bacterial small subunit ribosomal RNA
Rfam family: Bacterial small subunit ribosomal RNA
Source: Rfam by way of RNAcentral